AUAAGCACUGGAAACGGGUGUCUAAUACUGGAUACGACCUAUCACCGCAUGGUGUGUGGGUGGAAAGAUUUAUCGGUUUUGGAUGGACUCGCGGCCUAUCAGCUAGAUGGUGAGGUAAUGGCUCACCAUGGCGACGACGGGUAGCCGGCCUGAGAGGGUGACCGGCCACACUGGGACUGAGACACGGCCCAGACUCCUACGGGAGGCAGCAGUGGGGAAUAUUGCACAAUGGGCGCAAGCCUGAUGCAGCAACGCCGCGUGAGGGAUGACUGCCUUCGGGUUGUAAACCUCUUUUAGUAGGGAAGAAGCGAGAGUGACGGUACCUGCAGAAAAAGCACCGGCUAACUACGUGCCAGCAGCCGCGGUAAUACGUAGGGUGCAAGCGUUGUCCGGAAUUAUUGGGCGUAAAGAGCUCGUAGGCGGCUUGUCGCGUCUGCUGUGAAAUCCCGGGGCUCAACCCCGGGCCUGCAGUGGGUACGGGCAAGCUAGAGUGCGGUAGGGGAGAUUGGAAUUCCUGGUGUAGCGGUGGAAUGCGCAGAUAUCAGGAGGAACACCCGAUGGCGAAGGCAGAUCUCUGGGCCCGCUACUGACGCUGAGGAGCGAAAGCAUGGGGAGCGAACAGGAUUAGAUACCCUGGUAGUCCAUGCCGUAAACGUUGGGAACUAGAUGUAGGGCCUGUUCCACGGGUUCUGUGUCGUAGCUAACGCAUUAAGUUCCCCGCCUGGGGAGUACGGCCGCAAGGCUAAAACUCAAAGGAAUUGACGGGGGCCCGCACAAGCGGCGGAGCAUGCGGAUUAAUUCGAUGCAACGCGAAGAACCUUACCAAGGCUUGACAUAACCGAGAACGGGCGAGAGAUCGUCAACUCUUUGGACACUCGGUUACAGGUGGUGCAUGGUUGUCGUCA
RNAcentral lists this ribosomal RNA (905 nucleotides) under Leucobacter sp. PM-19. RNAcentral's name for it is "bacterial SSU rRNA". It matches the Rfam family "Bacterial small subunit ribosomal RNA", at positions 143 to 1057 of the family's 1533-position model. The record is from RNAcentral. Lineage: Bacteria; Bacillati; Actinomycetota; Actinomycetes; Micrococcales; Microbacteriaceae.